CUGAUCCGUAGUAGAGAUGUUAUCAUCCUUGUUGGGUCUUGGUCUCCCAAGGGCGCCGUAGCACAGUGAAAUAAGGAUGAAAGUAUGAACGUGCAGCAUGGUGGCAGUCAGCUUACAGAACCUGCACUGAGUUGUGCCAUUUACAGCAACAUCUUUUAUAGAGGAAGCAACCCAGCGGCUCCCAGCAGGCAGUGUGGCUGUGGACCAAGAGCCCCGGCGGCUGGAAGAGACGCAGCAUCCCGCUGACGAGGCAACGUACGGCACAUGUGUCCAACACGGAUCGCAUGGCGGCCCAUGACAAGAAUGUAUAGUAUAGUUUCAUCUUCAUCGAAAUGGGCAUCACCCCCUAUUCCACCACCGGGGGCAUACGCAUGAGCUAGCACACCAUUGGGACCAUCAAACGGCGACUGAUCACCCCAAUGAAGAAACAGGAUGAAAGUUGAGACUUUUGACCUAUUUUCUGCCUUGGACACACCCAGCUCUGACUCUGGCCCUGCCAUGUAGAACUCACCUAUAGGUUAGGGCAGAUCGUGGCCAUGUGGGUCUUCCAGGGAAUGCUCUGAACUCUGACACAUCUGGCAUCCCACAUCUGGGGGCUUUCAUCAUAGUCAUAGUCUCUGAGUGGAGAUGAUAUGAUCCUUAUGGGGUCUUGGUCUGCCAAGGGUGCCAUAGCACAAUGAAAUAAGGAUGAAAGUAUGAACGUGCAGCAUUGUGGCAAUCAGCUUAUGGAACCUGCACUGAGUUGUGCCAUUUAUAGCAACAUCUUUUGUAGAGGAAGGCCGACUUAUGCAGCGCUGCACGCCAUAAUGUGGCUGUUCAACUGGUGAUAAAGUUGCAGCUAAAAGCAACAAAGUAUUUGAAACGAGGCCGAGCCGUGGAAGCUGACGAAUCAUGCAAUAACAGCACAGAGUCACACGCAUGCGGGUGCGUUCCAGCCAAAGACGAGGCUUGGAACGCAAAGGAAACACGCCUGCGUGAGCGGCUAGGACCCGCUAUAAAAAUGGACACACAGGGACACUCUAUACAACGUCUCUGAAGAAGCCGCUGACGUGUUUGGAGGCGGAGAAACGCGUAAGUCGUCAUUCUUGAUAUCCAGUACUGGCAUCCGACACUCGGCAAGUCUAUCCCCUGCAAGCCCUCUGUUUUGGACCCUCCGGAUAUGGCACCAAUAAUGUGUUGAAGACACCAGGAGUCGGGAGUCCCCGAAACUGCCCCCUGCUGGGAGCUGGGCAUUACGUAAAAGGUGAUACAAAAUACUGAUGUGCCUCAUUGUCUAAAUCAUCUCUGAUUAAAAAUCCUGUCCAAGUUGUUUCCAUCAUACUAACAAUGUUACCAUCUUUAACUGGACAAGGAAUCAUCAAUUUCAGUGCGCUGAAAAAAGCCACCAGCACAGCUGUUUUAAUUGCAUGAAGUCUUUUGUCAUCUUAGACUAACAUACCAUCUGUGCAUGAUUACUAAUCAGCUAUACUAAACAACUAAGCUGGAAUUGCUUUAUAUGUAGUGUUUUAAGUGUAACUAUUGCCGGUACUGAUACACAUAUUAUAUUUAUUUAAUUUU
This is a long non-coding RNA of Pseudophryne corroboree (corroboree frog), 1557 nucleotides long. RefSeq lists it as uncharacterized. NCBI's taxonomy places the organism in Eukaryota, Metazoa, Chordata, Amphibia, Anura, Myobatrachidae. The transcript has 6 exons. The record is from RefSeq and is a predicted model, not a curated record.